Molecule: small nuclear RNA, 20 nt
Filed under: Arabidopsis thaliana (thale cress)
Lineage: Eukaryota; Viridiplantae; Streptophyta; Magnoliopsida; Brassicales; Brassicaceae
Description: snRNA_02050
Source: RNAcentral
UUACUUUAUAUAAAAGACAA